Molecule: unclassified non-coding RNA, 348 nt
Filed under: Hevea brasiliensis (rubber tree)
Lineage: Eukaryota; Viridiplantae; Streptophyta; Magnoliopsida; Malpighiales; Euphorbiaceae
Source: RNAcentral
GCAGCAGCGGCGGUGGGAGUGUUGUUCGGAGAUCGCGAUUAGCGGAGGUCGCCGGCGGUACGACGGCGGAAUGUGCGGCGGUGGCGUGUUGUUGUCCUUGCGGGAUAGCGAAUUUGUUGGUUCUAGCGGUGUAUAAGGUUCCGGCUGGACUUUGUAGAAAGGCUUUGAGGAAAAAUCGCCGGGAUCGGUUGAUGAAAAAGGGGCUUUUGCCGGCGACGGGAAGUGGACAUUGUAGCUGUGAUGAAAUGGAGCUUCAUGCUUACCAGAUUUCUAGUCCGAUUGCGAUGGUCGGCGCCGGCGCCGGAAACCUAGCAACCGAUAAGGAUGCUUUGGAGCUGGAGAAGGAAA